Molecule: ribosomal RNA, 436 nt
Filed under: uncultured bacterium
Lineage: Bacteria
Description: partial 16S ribosomal RNA
Rfam family: Bacterial small subunit ribosomal RNA
Source: RNAcentral
CCUACGGGCGGCAGCAGUGGGGAAUAUUGCACAAUGGGGGAAACCCUGAUGCAGCGACGCCGCGUGAGUGAGGAAGUAUUUCGGUAUGUAAAGCUCUAUCAGCAGGGAAGAAAAAGACGGUACCUGACUAAGAAGCCCCGGCUAACUACGUGCCAGCAGCCGCGGUAAUACGUAGGGGGCAAGCGUUAUCCGGAUUUACUGGGUGUAAAGGGAGCGUAGACGGACUUGCAAGUCUGGUGUGAAAACCCGGGGCCCAACCCCGGAACUGCAUUGGAAACUGGAUAGCUAGACUGGCGGAGAGGCAAGUGGAAUUCCUGGUGUAGCGGUGAAAUGCGUAGAUAUCAGGAGGAACACCAGUGGCGAAGGUGGCUUGAUGGACGAUGACUGACGUUGAGGCUCGAAAGCGUGGGGAGCAAACAUGAUUAGAUACCCUUGU